RNAcentral lists this ribosomal RNA (421 nucleotides) under uncultured bacterium. Its description in RNAcentral is "partial 16S ribosomal RNA". It matches the Rfam family "Bacterial small subunit ribosomal RNA", at positions 359 to 773 of the family's 1533-position model. The record is from RNAcentral.
GAUUUUUGACAAUGGGGGCAACCCUGAUCCAGCCAUCCCGCGUGUGCGAUGAAGGCCUUCGGGUGGUAUAGCACUCUUGGUAGGGAAGAAAAGGCUCUGGCUAAUACCUGGAGCUGCUGACGGUACCUGCAGAAUAAGCACCGGCUAACUACGUGCCAGCAGCCGCGGUAAUACGUAGGGUGCAAGCGUUAAUCGGAAUUACUGGGCGUAAAGCGUGCGCAGGCGGUUCGGCAAGAAGGAUGUGAAAUCCCAGGGCUUAAACUUGGAACUGCAUUCUAAACUGCCGGGCUAGAGUAUGUCAGAGGGAGGUAGAAUUCCGCGUGUAGCAGUGAAAUGCGUAGAGAUGCGGAGGAAUACCGAUGGCGAAGGCAGCCCACUGGGAUAAUACUGACGCUCAUGCACGAAAGCGUGGGGAGCAAAC